GUAGGUGGCAAGCGUUGUCCGGAAUUAUGGGCGUAAAGCGCGCGCAGGCGGGUCCUUUAAGUCUGAUGUGAAAGCCCACGGGCUCAACCGUGGAGGGUCAUUGGAAACUGGGGGACUUGAGUACAGAAGAGGAAAGCGGAAUUCCAAGUGUAGCAGUGAAAUGCGUAGAGAUUUGGAGGAACACCAGUGGCGAAGGCGGCUUUCUGGUCUGUAACUGACGCUGAGGCGCGAAAGCGUGGGGGGAGCAAACAGGAUUAGAUACCCUGGUAGUCCACGCCGUAAACGAUGAGUGCUAAGUGUUAGGGGGGUUUCCGCCCCUUAGUGCUACAGCUAACGCAUUAAGCACUCCGCCUGGGGAGUACGGCCGCAAAGGCUG
This 376-nucleotide ribosomal RNA is filed under the name uncultured organism. Its description in RNAcentral is "partial 16S ribosomal RNA". It matches the Rfam family "Bacterial small subunit ribosomal RNA", at positions 527 to 896 of the family's 1533-position model. The record is from RNAcentral.